RNAcentral lists this ribosomal RNA (497 nucleotides) under uncultured bacterium. RNAcentral describes it as "partial 16S ribosomal RNA". It matches the Rfam family "Bacterial small subunit ribosomal RNA", at positions 28 to 507 of the family's 1533-position model. The record is from RNAcentral.
GAUGAACGCUGGCGGCGUGCCUAAUACAUGCAAGUCGAGCGAACGGACGAGAAGCUUGCUUCUCUGAUGUUAGCGGCGGACGGGUGAGUAACACGUGGAUACCCUACCUAUAAGACUGGGAUCACUUCGGGAAACCGGAGCUAAUACCGGAUAAUAUUUUGAACCGCAUGGUUCAAAAGUGAAAGACGGUCUUGCUGUCACUUAUAGAUGGAUCCGCGCUGCAUUAGCUAGUUGGUAAGGUAACGGCUUACCAAGGCAACGAUGCAUAGCCGACCUGAGAGGGUGAUAGGCCACACUGGAACUGAGACACGGUCCAGACUCCUACGGGAGGCAGCAGUAGGGAAUCUUCCGCAAUGGGCGAAAGCCUGACGGAGCAACGCCGCGUGAGUGAUGAAGGUCUUCGGAUCGUAAAACUCUGUUAUUAGGGAAGAACAUAUGUGUAAGUAACUGUGCACAUCUUGACGGUACCUAAUCAGAAAGCCACGGCUAACUACGUG